This 2909-nucleotide ribosomal RNA is filed under the name Pseudomonadales bacterium. RNAcentral describes it as "23S ribosomal RNA". It matches the Rfam family "Bacterial large subunit ribosomal RNA". Lineage: Bacteria; Pseudomonadati; Pseudomonadota; Gammaproteobacteria; Pseudomonadales. The record is from RNAcentral.
GUUAUAUGGUCAAGCGACUAAGCGCAUACGGUGGAUGCCUUGGCAGUUGGAGGCGAUGAAGGACGUGGAAGUCUGCGAAAAGCUCGGGGGAGCUGACAAACAAGCGUUAUAUCCCGAGAUGUCCGAAUGGGGAAACCCACCUAUCAUAAGAUAGGUAUCUUGUACUGAAUACAUAGGUACUUGAGGCGAACCCGGGGAACUGAAACAUCUAAGUACCCGGAGGAAAAGAAAUCAACCGAGAUUCCCUAAGUAGCGGCGAGCGAACGGGGACUAGCCCUUAAGCUUCAUUUGUUUUAGUGGAAGGCUCUGGAAAGUGCCGCGAUACAGGGUGAUAGCCCCGUACACGAAAAGACAUUUAAAGUGAAAUCGAGUAGGUCGGAGCACGUGAAACUUUGACUGAAUAUGGGGGGACCAUCCUCCAAGGCUAAAUACUACCAACUGACCGAUAGUGAACCAGUACCGUGAGGGAAAGGCGAAAAGAACCCCGGAGAGGGGAGUGAAAUAGAUCCUGAAACCGUAUGCGUACAAGCAGUAGGAGCAGACUUGUUCUGUGACUGCGUACCUUUUGUAUAAUGGGUCAGCGACUUACAUUUAGUAGCAAGGUUAACCGAAUAGGGGAGCCGUAGAGAAAUCGAGUCUUAAUAGGGCGUUUAGUUGCUAGGUGUAGACCCGAAACCCGGCGAUCUAUCCAUGGCCAGGUUGAAGGUGCCGUAACAGGCACUGGAGGACCGAACCCACGUAUGUUGAAAAAUGCGGGGAUGAGCUGUGGAUCGGAGUGAAAGGCUAAUCAAGCCGGGAGAUAGCUGGUUCUCCUCGAAAGCUAUUUAGGUAGCGCGUCAUGUCUCACCCACGGGGGUAGAGCACUGUUUCGGCUAGGGGGUCAUCCCGACUUACCAACCCGAUGCAAACUCCGAAUACCGUGGAGUGCAAUCAUGGCAGACAGACGGCGGGUGCUAACGUCCGUCGUCAAAAGGGAAACAACCCAGACCGCCAGCUAAGGUCCCUAAUAUCAGUUAAGUGGGAAACGAUGUGGGAAGGCUAAGACAGCUAGGAGGUUGGCUUAGAAGCAGCCACCCUUUAAAGAAAGCGUAAUAGCUCACUAGUCGAGUCGGCCUGCGCGGAAGAUGUAACGGGGCUAAACUGAUAACCGAAGCUGCGGACGCGUGUUUACACGCGUGGUAGAGGAGCGUUCUGUAAGCCGUUGAAGGUGGAUCGAGAGGUCUGCUGGAGGUAUCAGAAGUGCGAAUGCUGACAUGAGUAACGAUAAGGGGUGUGAAAAACACCCCCGCCGGAAGACCAAGGUUUCCUGUCCCAUGCUAAUCAGGGCAGGGUUAGUCGGCACCUAAGGCGAGGGCGAAAGCCGUAGUCGAUGGAAAACAGGUUAAUAUUCCUGUACCUCAUAUUACUGCGAUGGAGGGACGGAGUAGGCUAGAUCAGACGGGCGAUGGUUGUCCCGAUCUAAGCGUGUAGGCUGAGGACUUAGGUAAAUCCGGGUCCUUAAGGCUGAGACGUGAUGGCGAGGCUCUCUUUUGAGCUGAGUGAUUGAUGCCAUGCUUCCAAGAAAAUCUUCUAAGCUUCAGGUAAUGUGAGACCGUACCCCAAACCGACACAGGUGGUCAGGUAGAGAAUACCAAGGCGCUUGAGAGAACUCGGGUGAAGGAACUAGGCAAAAUGGCACCGUAACUUCGGGAGAAGGUGCGCUGUUGACGGUGAUCGGACUUGCUCCGUAAGCUGUUGGCAGCCGAAGUGACCAGGCCGCUGCGACUGUUUAUUAAAAACACAGCACUCUGCAAACACGUAAGUGGACGUAUAGGGUGUGACGCCUGCCCGGUGCCGGAAGGUUAAUUGAUGGGGUUAGUCCUCGGACGAAGCUCUUGAUCGAAGCCCCGGUAAACGGCGGCCGUAACUAUAACGGUCCUAAGGUAGCGAAAUUCCUUGUCGGGUAAGUUCCGACCUGCACGAAUGGCGUAACGAUGGCGGCACUGUCUCCACCCGAGACUCAGUGAAAUUGAAAUUGCGGUUAAGAUGCCGUAUACCCGCGGCUAGACGGAAAGACCCCGUGAACCUUUACUACAGCUUGGCACUGAACUUUGAACCUAUUUGUGUAGGAUAGGUGGGAGGCUUUGAAGUGUAAUCGCCAGAUUGCAUGGAGCCGCCCUUGAAAUACCACCCUGGUAUGUUUGAGGUUCUAACCUUGGUCCGUUAUCCGGAUCGGGAACAGUGUCUGGUGGGUAGUUUGACUGGGGCGGUCUCCUCCCAAAGAGUAACGGAGGAGCACGAAGGUACCCUCGGCAUGGUCGGAAAUCAUGCUAUGAGUGCAAAGGCAUAAGGGUGCUUGACUGCGAGACAGACACGUCGAGCAGGUACGAAAGUAGGUCUUAGUGAUCCGGUGGUUCUGUAUGGAAGGGCCAUCGCUCAACGGAUAAAAGGUACUCCGGGGAUAACAGGCUGAUACCGCCCAAGAGUUCACAUCGACGGCGGUGUUUGGCACCUCGAUGUCGGCUCAUCACAUCCUGGGGCUGAAGCCGGUCCCAAGGGUAUGGCUGUUCGCCAUUUAAAGUGGUACGCGAGCUGGGUUUAGAACGUCGUGAGACAGUUCGGUCCCUAUCUGCCGUGGGCGUUGGAGAUUUGAGGAGAGCUGCUUCUAGUACGAGAGGACCGAAGUGGACGAACCUCUGGUGUUCGGGUUGUCACGCCAGUGGCAUUGCCCGGUAGCUACGUUCGGACAGGAUAACCGCUGAAAGCAUCUAAGCGGGAAGCCCCCUCCAAGAUUAGAUCUCCCUGGGAGUUUAACUCCCCUAAAGAGCCGUUGAAGACUACGACGUUGAUAGGCUGGGUGUGGAAGCGCUGUGAAGCGUUGAGCUAACCAGUACUAAUUGCUCGUGAGGCUUGACCAUAUAACAGAAGCG